Molecule: ribosomal RNA, 264 nt
Filed under: uncultured bacterium
Lineage: Bacteria
Description: partial 16S ribosomal RNA
Rfam family: Bacterial small subunit ribosomal RNA
Source: RNAcentral
GUCCAUGCCGUAAACGUUGGGCACUAGGUGUGGGGGACAUUCCACGUUUUCCGCGCCGUAGCUAACGCAUUAAGUGCCCCGCCUGGGGAGUACGGCCGCAAGGCUAAAACUCAAAGGAAUUGACGGGGGCCCGCACAAGCGGCGGAGCAUGCGGAUUAAUUCGAUGCAACGCGAAGAACCUUACCAAGGCUUGACAUGUGCCAGACCGCUUCAGAGAUGGAGUUUCCCUUCGGGGCUGGUUCACAGGUGGUGCAUGGUUGUCGU